Molecule: transfer RNA, 64 nt
Filed under: Gastrallus laevigatus
Lineage: Eukaryota; Metazoa; Arthropoda; Insecta; Coleoptera; Ptinidae
Description: tRNA-Ala
Source: RNAcentral
AGGAUAAUAGUUAAUUAUAACAUUUAAUUUGCACUUAAAAAGUAUUGCCCCGCAAUUUAUCUUU